Molecule: ribosomal RNA, 454 nt
Filed under: uncultured bacterium
Lineage: Bacteria
Description: bacterial SSU rRNA
Rfam family: Bacterial small subunit ribosomal RNA
Source: RNAcentral
AAUCAACGCUGGCGGCGUGCCUAACACAUGCAAGUCGAACGAGAAAGGGGACUUCGGUCCCUGAGUACAGUGGCGCACGGGUGAGUAACACGUGACUUAUCUACCCUCGAGUGGGGAAUAACUUCGGGAAACCGAGGCUAAUACCGCAUAAUACCCACGGGUCAAAGGAGCAAUUCGCUUGAGGAGGAGGUCGCGGCCGAUUAGUUAGUUGGCGGGGUAAGUUUGCCCCACCCCAAGACGGUGAUCGGUAUCCGGCCUGAGAGGGCGCACGGACACACUGGAACUGAAACACGGUCCAGACUCCUACGGGAGGCAGCAGUGGGGAAUUUUGCGCAAUGGGGGAAACCCUGACGCAGCAACGCCGCGUGGAGGAUGAAGUCUCUUGGGACGUAAACUCCUUUCGAUCGGGACGAUUAUGACGGUACCGGAAGAAGAAGCCCCGGCUAACUUCGUG